This 75-nucleotide transfer RNA is filed under the name Limisphaerales bacterium. Its description in RNAcentral is "Verrucomicrobia subdivision 3 bacterium (hot springs metagenome) tRNA-Val". It matches the Rfam family "tRNA". Rfam says of the family: Transfer RNA (tRNA) molecules are approximately 80 nucleotides in length. Their secondary structure includes four short double-helical elements and three loops (D, anti-codon, and T loops). Lineage: Bacteria; Pseudomonadati; Verrucomicrobiota; Verrucomicrobiia; Limisphaerales. The record is from RNAcentral.
GCGCGCUUAGCUUAGUGGAAGAGCGCUUCCUUCACACGGAAGAGGUCGGAGGUUCAAAUCCUCCAGCGCGCACCA